RNAcentral lists this ribosomal RNA (468 nucleotides) under uncultured bacterium. RNAcentral describes it as "partial 16S ribosomal RNA". It matches the Rfam family "Bacterial small subunit ribosomal RNA", at positions 28 to 507 of the family's 1533-position model. The record is from RNAcentral.
GAUGAACGCUGGCAGCGUGCUUAACACAUGCAAGUCGAACGGUGAAGGCGGAGCUUGCUCUGCUGGAUCAGUGGCGAACGGGUGAGUAACACGUGAGCAAUCUGCCCCUGACUCUGGGAUAAGCGCUGGAAACGGCGUCUAAUACUGGAUACGAGCUGCGAAGGCAUCUUCAGCAGCUGGAAAGAACUUCGGUCAGGGAUGAGCUCGCGGCCUAUCAGCUUGUUGGUGAGGUAACGGCUCACCAAGGCGUCGACGGGUAGCCGGCCUGAGAGGGUGACCGGCCACACUGGGACUGAGACACGGCCCAGACUCCUACGGGAGGCAGCAGUGGGGAAUAUUGCACAAUGGGCGAAAGCCUGAUGCAGCAACGCCGCGUGAGGGACGACGGCCUUCGGGUUGUAAACCUCUUUUAGCAGGGAAGAAGCGAAAGUGACGGUACCUGCAGAAAAAGCGCCGGCUAACUACGUG